GGCGGCAACAGCGCCGCGGUACCACCUGUUCCCAUUCCGAACACAGAAGUGAAACGCGGCCGCGCCCAUGGUAGUGCAGCGUACGACUGCGCGAGAGCAGGUCACUGCCA
Molecule: ribosomal RNA, 110 nt
Filed under: uncultured Succinivibrio sp.
Lineage: Bacteria; Pseudomonadati; Pseudomonadota; Gammaproteobacteria; Aeromonadales; Succinivibrionaceae
Source: RNAcentral